AGUGAACGCUGGCGGUAGGCCUAACACAUGCAAGUCGAACGGCAGCACAGUAAGAGCUUGCUCUUACGGGUGGCGAGUGGCGGACGGGUGAGGAAUACAUCGGAAUCUACUUUUUCGUGGGGGAUAACGUAGGGAAACUUACGCUAAUACCGCAUACGACCUACGGGUGAAAGCAGGGGAUCUUCGGACCUUGCGCGAUUGAAUGAGCCGAUGUCGGAUUAGCUAGUUGGCGGGGUAAAGGCCCACCAAGGCGACGAUCCGUAGCUGGUCUGAGAGGAUGAUCAGCCACACUGGAACUGAGACACGGUCCAGACUCCUACGGGAGGCAGCAGUGGGGAAUAUUGGACAAUGGGCGCAAGCCUGAUCCAGCCAUACCGCGUGGGUGCAGAAGGGCUUCGGGUUGUAAAGCCCUUUUGUUGGGAAAGAAAAGCAGCAGGUUAAUACCCCGCUGUUCUGACGGUACCCAAAGAAUAAGCACCGGCUAACUUCGUG
This 492-nucleotide ribosomal RNA is filed under the name uncultured bacterium. RNAcentral's name for it is "partial 16S ribosomal RNA". It matches the Rfam family "Bacterial small subunit ribosomal RNA", at positions 29 to 507 of the family's 1533-position model. The record is from RNAcentral.